This 268-nucleotide ribosomal RNA is filed under the name uncultured bacterium. Its description in RNAcentral is "partial 16S ribosomal RNA". It matches the Rfam family "Bacterial small subunit ribosomal RNA", at positions 87 to 354 of the family's 1533-position model. The record is from RNAcentral.
CCCGGCGACCGGCGCACGGGUGAGUAACGCGUAUGCAACUUACCUAUCAGAGGGGGAUAACCCGGCGAAGGUCGGACUAAUACCGCAUGAAGCAGGGGCCCCGCAUGGGGAUAUUUGCUAAAGAUUCAUCGCUGAUAGAUAGGCAUGCGUUCCAUUAGGCAGUUGGCGGGGUAACGGCCCACCAAACCGACGAUGGAUAGGGGUUCUGAGAGGAAGGUCCCCCACAUUGGUACUGAGACACGGACCAAACUCCUACGGAAGGCAGCAG